GCAAGUCGAACGCUGAAGCCCCAGCUUGCUGGGGUGGAUGAGUGGCGAACGGGUGAGUAACACGUGAGUAACCUGCCCAUCACUCUGGGAUAAGCGCUGGAAACGGCGUCUAAUACUGGAUACGAGCAGCGACCGCAUGGUCAGCUGCUGGAAAGACUGGUUCGGUGAUGGAUGGACUCGCGGCCUAUCAGCUUGUUGGUGAGGUAAUGGCUCACCAAGGCGACGACGGGUAGCCGGCCUGAGAGGGUGACCGGCCACACUGGGACUGAGACACGGCCCAGACUCCUACGGGAGGCAGCAGUGGGGAAUAUUGCACAAUGGGCGCAAGCCUGAUGCAGCAACGCCGCGUGAGGGAUGACGGCCUUCGGGUUGUAAACCUCUUUUAGUAGGGAAGAAGCCUUCGGGUGACGGUACCUGCAGAAAAAGCACCGGCUAACUACGUGCCAGCAGCCGCGGUAAUACGUAGGGUGCAAGCGUUGUCCGGAAUUAUUGGGCGUAAAGAGCUCGUAGGCGGCUUGUCGCGUCUGCUGUGAAAACCCGAGGCUCAACCUCGGGCCUGCAGUGGGUACGGGCAAGCUAGAGUGCGGUAGGGGAGAUUGGAAUUCCUGGUGUAGCGGUGGAAUGCGCAGAUAUCAGGAGGAACACCGAUGGCGAAGGCAGAUCUCUGGGCCGUAACUGACGCUGAGGAGCGAAAGCAUGGGGAGCGAACAGGAUUAGAUACCCUGGUAGUCCAUGCCGUAAACGUUGGGAACUAGAUGUAGGGCCUGUUCCACGGGUUCUGUGUCGUAGCUAACGCAUUAAGUUCCCCGCCUGGGGAGUACGGCCGCAAGGCUAAAACUCAAAGGAAUUGACGGGGGCCCGCACAAGCGGCGGAGCAUGCGGAUUAAUUCGAUGCAACGCGAAGAACCUUACCAAGGCUUGACAUAUGGAAGAACGGGUCAGAAAUGAUUCACUCUUUGGACACUUCUAUACAGGUGGUGCAUGGUUGUCGUCAGCUCGUGUCGUGAGAUGUUCGGUUAA
Molecule: ribosomal RNA, 1020 nt
Filed under: Leucobacter sp.
Lineage: Bacteria; Bacillati; Actinomycetota; Actinomycetes; Micrococcales; Microbacteriaceae
Description: bacterial SSU rRNA
Rfam family: Bacterial small subunit ribosomal RNA
Source: RNAcentral